RNAcentral lists this ribosomal RNA (509 nucleotides) under Fusobacterium sp. RNAcentral's name for it is "bacterial SSU rRNA". It matches the Rfam family "Bacterial small subunit ribosomal RNA", at positions 34 to 554 of the family's 1533-position model. Lineage: Bacteria; Fusobacteriati; Fusobacteriota; Fusobacteriia; Fusobacteriales; Fusobacteriaceae. The record is from RNAcentral.
CGCUGACAGAAUGCUUAACACAUGCACGUCUACUUGAAUUUGGGUCUUUUAACUUAGAUUUGGGUGGCGGACGGGUGAUUAACGCGUAAAGAACUUGCCUCACAGCUCGGGACAACAUUUGGAAACGAAUGCUAAUACCUGAUAUUAUGAUUUUAAGGCAUCUUAUAAUUAUGAAAGCUAUAUGCGCUGUGAGAGAGCUUUGCGUCCCAUUAGCUAGUUGGAGAGGUAACGGCUCACCAAGGCGAUGAUGGGUAGCCGGCCUGAGAGGGUGAACGGCCACAAGGGGACUGAGACACGGCCCUUACUCCUACGGGAGGCAGCAGUGGGGAAUAUUGGACAAUGGACCAAGAGUCUGAUCCAGCAAUUCUGUGUGCACGAUGACGUUUUUCGGAAUGUAAAGUGCUUUCAGUUGGGAAGAAAAAAAUGACGGUACCAACAGAAGAAGUGACGGCUAAAUACGUGCCAGCAGCCGCGGUAAUACGUAUGUCACAAGCGUUAUCCGGAUUUAU